RNAcentral lists this ribosomal RNA (474 nucleotides) under uncultured organism. RNAcentral describes it as "partial 16S ribosomal RNA". It matches the Rfam family "Bacterial small subunit ribosomal RNA", at positions 335 to 800 of the family's 1533-position model. The record is from RNAcentral.
ACUCCUGCGGGAGGCAGCAGUGGGGAAUUUUGGACAAUGGGCGCAAGCCUGAUCCAGCCAUGCCGCGUGCGGGAAGAAGGCCUUCGGGUUGUAAACCGCUUUUGUCAGGGAAGAAAAGGUUCUGGCUAAUACCUGGGACUCAUGACGGUACCUGAAGAAUAAGCACCGGCUAACUACGUGCCAGCAGCCGCGGUAAUACGUAGGGUGCAAGCGUUAAUCGGAAUUACUGGGCGUAAAGCGUGCGCAGGCGGUUAUGCAAGACAGAGGUGAAAUCCCCGGGCUCAACCUGGGAACUGCCUUUGUGACUGCAUGGCUAGAGUACGGUAGAGGGGGAUGGAAUUCCGCGUGUAGCAGUGAAAUGCGUAGAUAUGCGGAGGAACACCGAUGGCGAAGGCAAUCCCCUGGACCUGUACUGACGCUCAUGCACGAAAGCGUGGGGAGCAAACAGGAUUAGAUACCCGGGUAGUCCCAUGA